GGAGCGCCGCGGCGGCCGCUGCUGCUCCUGCUGCUGGCGGCGGCGGCGGCUCGGGUGGCAGCCGCGGGGCUGGGACAGCGAGGAGCGCGGGCGGCUGGCAGGGGCGCGCGCGGGGCGCCGCGAGCAGCUUGGCUCCGCGCAGGCAGCCAGGCGGCGCUCCUGCCGGCCCCAGGCGCGCCGCUAGCCCGGCCCAGCGCCCAGCCCGGCGGGCGGCGGCGGGCGAGCCGGCGCAGGAGCAGGAGGAGGGGGAGCCGCGCCGCCAGGGAGGGAAGCCGGGGCGAGGCGAGGAGGUGGCGGGAGGAGGAGACAGCGGGGAAAGGUGUCAGAUAAAGGAGGGCUCUCCUCCGGUUUGGAGUCAUCAUGGCCGCUAAGUCAGACGGGAGGCUAAAAAUGAAGAAGAGCAGCGACGUGGCGUUCACCCCGCUGCAGAACUCGGACCACUCGGGCUCGGUGCAGGGAUUGGCUCCGGGCUUGCCGUCGGGGUCGGGAGCCGAGGACGAGGAGGCGGCCGGGGGCGGCUGCUGCCCGGACGGCGGCGGCUGCUCGCGCUGCUGCUGCUGCUGCGCUGGGAGCGGCGGCUCGGGCGGCGGCUCCGGGGGCUUGGGCGGCCCGGGCGGCGGCGUUGGCGGCCCGGGCAGCAGCGGGGCGGGCUCGGCGGCGCUGUGCCUGCGCCUGGGCAGGGAGCAGCGGCGCUACUCGCUGUGGGACUGCCUCUGGAUCCUGGCCGCGGUGGCCGUGUACUUCGCGGACGUGGGCACGGACAUCUGGCUUGCCGUGGACUACUACUUGCGCGGCCAGCGCUGGUGGUUCGGGCUCACGCUCUUCUUCGUGGUGCUCGGCUCGCUCUCCGUGCAAGUGUUCAGCUUCCGCUGGUUUGUGCACGAUUUCAGCACCGAGGACAGCGCCACGACCGCAGCUGCCUCCACGCAGCCUGGAGCCGAUUGCAAGACGGUGGCCAGCAGUGGGUCUGCAGCCGCGGAAGGCGAGGCUCGUCCUUCCACGCCGCAAAGGCAAGCAUCCAACGCCAGUAAGAGCAACAUCGCCGCCACCAACAGCGGCAGCAACAGUAGCGGGGCCACCCGGGCCAGCGGCAAACACAGGUCUGCGUCCUGCUCCUUCUGCAUCUGGCUCCUGCAGUCACUCAUCCACAUCUUGCAGCUCGGGCAAAUCUGGAGAUAUUUCCACACCAUCUACUUAGGCAUUCGAAGUCGACAGAGUGGGGAGAAUGACCGGUGGAGGUUUUACUGGAAAAUGGUGUAUGAGUAUGCAGAUGUGAGUAUGCUGCACUUGCUAGCCACCUUUCUGGAAAGUGCGCCACAGCUGGUCCUGCAGCUCUGCAUUAUCGUACAGACUCAUAGCUUACAGGCCCUCCAAGGUUUCACAGCAGCAGCCUCCCUUGUGUCUUUGGCUUGGGCCUUGGCCUCCUACCAGAAGGCCCUCCGGGACUCUCGAGAUGACAAGAAGCCUAUCAGCUACAUGGCGGUUGUCAUCCAGUUCUGCUGGCACUUCUUUACCAUUGCCGCCAGAGUCAUCACCUUCGCCCUCUUUGCCUCGGUUUUCCAGCUGUACUUUGGGAUCUUCAUCGUCCUCCACUGGUGCAUCAUGACCUUCUGGAUCGUCCACUGUGAGACAGAAUUCUGCAUCACCAAAUGGGAAGAGAUUGUGUUCGACAUGGUGGUGGGGAUCAUCUACAUCUUCAGCUGGUUCAACGUCAAGGAAGGCAGGACACGCUGCAGGCUCUUCAUUUACUAUUUUGUGAUCCUCUUGGAAAAUACAGCCUUGAGUGCCCUCUGGUACCUCUACAAGGCUCCCCAGAUUGCAGAUGCGUUUGCCAUCCCAGCGCUGUGUGUGGUAUUUAGCAGCUUUUUAACUGGCGUCGUUUUUAUGCUGAUGUACUAUGCCUUCUUUCACCCCAAUGGACCCCGAUUCGGGCAGUCACCAAGUUGUGCUUGUGAGGACCCAGUCGCUGCCUUCACUCUGCCUCCAGAAGUGGCCACGAGCACACUCCGGUCCAUCUCCAACAACCGCAGCGUCGCCAGCGACCGCGACCAGAAAUUCGCAGAGCGGGAUGGGUGCGUCCCUGUCUUUCAGGUGAGGCCCACUGCCCCGUCCACACCAUCCUCUCGCCCACCACGGAUUGAAGAAUCUGUCAUUAAAAUUGACCUGUUCAGGAAUAGGUACCCGGCGUGGGAGAGACACGUUUUGGACCGAAGCCUUCGAAAGGCCAUUCUAGCCUUUGAAUGUUCCCCGUCUCCUCCAAGGCUGCAGUACAAAGAUGAUGCCCUUAUUCAGGAGCGGUUGGAGUAUGAAACCACUUUAUAAAAUAGAAGGCCUCGGAGGAGCCACAACCUCCAGUGAAGGGGUAACAGCAGGGCCGUGGCAAUAAUGAAACUGUCCUAGAAUAGGGCAACGGGCUGUAAUGUGCUUCGUUGGACCCUCCGUCAGCUGACCGCCUGCUGCUGGCCUCCUUUCAAAAGAGCAGCUGAAGGGAAAGAACCGAACCGAACCGUGCCUGCUCAGUAGGACUCCUUGUUGCUACCAGCCCCUCCUGCCCACUUUUAGCGUGUCCACCAGAGGGUACUAUGAGCACGGAAAACAUUGCCUCCAAUCAAUAGGGUGUUUUGAUGGAGUUAACUGAUCUUUGCAUAAAAAUAUACUCAAUCACAUACACACAUGCACACAUACACACACAUGCUAAUACACACGGCACCAGUCCUCUGUCAAAAUAGCUUAGAUGAUUUCUUUUCUAGAUGCAAAGCUCUGAUUCUGAAUAUAAAAACAAAGAGAGAGAGAAUAUAUCCUUCAAGACUCCAGAAAAACACAAAACAAAACAAAAAAUAGUACUAUUUAGAAAAGAAUUUCAUAGACCAUUCUCAUUUGGAAACCACUACCAUGCGUUCAAAUCCUACCACGGACAGCAAACUCAACUGUCGUUUACAUAUGUAUUCAAAUCAAUGGAAUGGUUCAUUUUCAACACAUUUCAGGAUUUGUUUUUUAUUUUAAAUUUCAGUCGAGAACAUCCUUUCUGACAGAAAUCCUAUGCAGCACAUCUAUGGCUUUCGACAAGACCAAGGAGCUCAGUGAUUUCAUGAUGUAAAUUAAAUGAAAAUCAUGGUUCAGUAUUCAGUUGCAAAAAUUUAAUAAGUACAUGAAGAGGAAGCAGGGAAACAAGGCAAAAACGAGCAUCUGACUUCCCAGCCUGCCGCAGUUCACCGGGGCAAGGAGGUGCAGAGCGGCAGGAGAGAAACAUGCUGAACUGGGUGUUUCAAGACACAGAAAAGCGUGGCUCUGUGUGACAGCUACGGAGCAUGUCAUGCCACACCCUCCUAGUGCCAAAUAGCAUCCAACCACAGGACUGACGUGGAAGUCCCAAACACCGAAGAACGAGCGGCAUGAGCCCCCCAAACGUGGACGUGAGAGCACACCAUCACAUUCCCCAUUGUGUACAGACUAACCCCCCCAAUCCAAGGUCAAAGUGAUGUGUCUUUUAGAGGCUUUGGGACACUUUUUAAAACAUCUUGGAACUUGUCAAGCUUUACUGAAGGUGAUUUGCGUUAAUUAAUGCAACAGACCCUUUAAUCUUGCAAAUUCUUGACUUGUAAUAUUGUAGCCAAGCUACCGCGAGGGAAAAUUAAUCAGUUAGUGGGAAGGAGCCCUCGUUCCGUGCUGAGCUGUACCCAGGCCUGAAGAGAAAGACCUCUGUGAAGUAGAGCACUAAUGAAUUCGUGCUACCUGCUUCCUCAUCAUUCAUGCAAUGAAUAUUCAUCUACUUCAUUUGUUUUUGACAGUAAGCGCUGCUUUGAAAGAAAAAAAGUGUCAAUGGAUUCCUGGGGCUUGCAUAGCUCAGAGAAUAGGUACUGGGUCAUGGAGAAUCCUUAAAUGAAUACAAAUCUACUUGUUUGGAAAUGAAAAAAAAAAAAAAAAGUCAUUGUUAUCUCUUUAAUGAUUGAUCUGUCUGAGUACCGUGGCUGCCCUCACUUGGUUUCUUGAGAGUACUGUUGUCAGCAUUGUAAUAACAAAUUUAUGAAAAUUGAAUCUGUAAUUCCAUUUCAGAGGUAAAAUCUGCACGGAUGUAACUGUUAAGUAAUUUGAUUCUCGCCUUCCUGCAAUUAACCUUCUACAAUUGGGUGGUGACAUUGCCUGUUUCAAACUGAGGUACCUAAGUUUACAGUAUUGGCCCUCCUGUUGUUUCUGAGUCCUGACCAAACAUCAGUUACAAACUCUGAGAUCAAGUAGAGAUUCUUAUUGCCUAAAUGUUCGUUUCAAAGUAAACUAAUAGUCUCAUAAUUUGAAAAAAUCAUGGUUCUUUCCCACUUGCUUCUCUGUUUUCCAAGAAAGAUUUGAGUUGCAAGAUAAGAAUGAAUAUACUUUCACAUCAUUGUCUCAGAGUUUGCAAGUAUCAGGCUGCCCUAUGUUUUUAUAAAGUUUCUGUCUAACCUUGUAGUAGAACAAUUUCAGGAGUGAACCCUAGAUCAAUGAGUGAAAGUCAUCAGGGUUAUCCAAAGAGCAACCUAGCAGAAAAAUUUUAGAAAAGAAGCAGGGAUCCUUUUUCUUGGGUUUCAAAGACGUUUCUCCUUGCUAAGUGACCAUCUUAGUGAUUUGAGAGCUACUGAAUGGUAGUCCCAGUUAGAAGUGUCAGUAUUGUGCUGCAUACUCUAUUCUGUCAAAGUCAUUUUUCAGAACUAACUCUUGGCACCAGCACUGAAAUUUAAUGGCAAAAACUGGCCUACUACCAUGUAAUUUAUUUUCAAUUGCAAGGCAAUGAAAACUAAUAAGUUGAAGAAAAAUUUAAUUUCCUGAACUCCAAAGCCAAAAUGGGCACAAAGACACUCUGUAACAUACAAUGAGCUGGUUGACUGUGGGGACGCAGGGGCAAUAAACAAUCCUCUUAAGCACGGCUCAUGAGUGAGAGGCUAUAAGCUGUGUUGGGACAGAAGGUGAUUGAAGAGGAUGUCUACCAGUUGCUCAUCAGGAAUAUCUGCCUUUUUAUAGAGCAGAGGUUCAAAGUAGCCCCUGCCGUUCCCUAACUAUGAGGAUAGAUACAUCCAUAUAUGAAGGGCCAAGGCAGAAGACAGAGAAGAUAUCAGGGCCUUCAUGUCUGAGACUAACUCUGUCUUUAAGAAAACAGCUCUCCUUGGUCAUUGGCCCCUAUGCUGCUAGCUAGCUCUGCAUGCCAAGAACUUCUGAUGGACUACAAGAUGAGAUAUUUAAAGGUAUCGUAAGUAUUCUUGCUUGUAGAACAUGAACCACUGAAUUAGCCCUCCUUUUCAACAGCAACCAGAUUCAGGGUUACUAUGGCCUUACACAUCAUCCCAUUGUAAAUAUAUCAUGACAUCAUGAUAGCCUCUGUGUUCAAAUUCACUAAACCAGGUUUACAUGUCCUAGGUCUGUGUAUCUAUCCCCAAUUUGGAAAAAAAUAAUUUUUUGAGAAUGAUCUUUAGAAUAAUGGAAGUGAAAAAAAAAAAAGUGGACAGUUGAGUAAUUUUUCACCAUCCACGAAACCACUAGAGUGCUGAUAGCCCUAAAGCUCUGAUUUUUUUCUUUUUUCUCAUGAGUAAGUUUCUUUUUACUUAGGGCUUUCAACAUCUGAAUUUUCCAAAUGAUCGCUGAACCAUCUUCACUAAACUGAAGUAGACACUAUGGCAUUGUUAAAAAAUAAAGACUGUACACAUGAAAGCAAAUAUCCAAUGAAAAGUGAAGAAGUAAGUCACUCAAGCAGUAAAUUUGGUCUUUGUGACAUCAAACAUUUGAAUACUUAGGAAAAUCCAUGUGUUUGAAUGAUAGAAUUUUUCAUCUGGUUGUCUGGUGUUGUCUAGAUAGACAGAAAAUGCUCAGGUGUUGUAGGUAAUGAGAUUUAACUUUCUCGUGCAGUAAUCAUUUGCUGGUGAUAUUCUGCUGCUCAAAAUCUCUUUGUUGUGCAAAGAGGAAUAAAUAAUGCAGAGCAAAUGCUAUUUGAUUUUUAUUUACUUUUGGCAAACACGUGAAUGGAAGAGGUUUGGGAGGUUGUCCCAGGGGUAUUUAGAUGUGAUUAUGGCACAGACCUCCUUCAGAAAGACUGUUUUGGAGGCCUGCCACUCUGCUUCUUCCUGCCAAGGAAACUUUUUAUUCCGUUCCUUUCCAUCCUUUCUCAUUCUAUAAUUGCCCCCUGUUCUUCACAUAAUCUUCAUUGUUCCCAAAGUCUACUUGACAGAACUGUUCAGGAGAAAUGCAAGUUUGUUAACUUUUUAUUCUUCAAAUAGGAAGUUUUCAUUUUAAGGAUUAUAUCUUUCAAGCAGAAAAAUAAUGUAAAUGUCUCAAUGCAGGUAUUUUAUGGUGCAUGUUUUGGUGUUGAUAGAAGUAAAAGCGUUUUUUGGUUUUA
Mustela lutreola (European mink) is the source of this 6358-nucleotide RNA transcript. It is a transcript of the gene named XK related 4, with no coding region annotated. The transcript is spliced from 4 exons. The record is from RefSeq and is a predicted model, not a curated record. NCBI's taxonomy places the organism in Eukaryota, Metazoa, Chordata, Mammalia, Carnivora, Mustelidae.